Molecule: ribosomal RNA, 327 nt
Filed under: uncultured eukaryote
Lineage: Eukaryota
Description: partial 18S ribosomal RNA
Rfam family: Eukaryotic small subunit ribosomal RNA
Source: RNAcentral
CCCUUAGAUGUUCCGGGCCGCACGCGCGCUACACUGAUUCAUGCAACAAGUUUUGUCCUUGGCUGAUAGGCCUGGGUAAUCUUUGAACGUGAAUCGUGAUGGGGAUAGAUGAUUGCAAUUAUUCAUCUUCAACGAGGAAUUCCUAGUAAACGCAAGUCAUCAGCUUGCAUUGAUUACGUCCCUGCCCUUUGUACACACCGCCCGUCGCACCUACCGAUUGAAUGGUCCGGUGAAAUCUUCGGAUCUGAGAGAUGUCUGAUUAAUUUCGGACGCCUUUUGGAAAAGUUGUUUAAACCUUACCAUUUAGAGGAAGGUGAAGUCGUAACA